This 164-nucleotide ribosomal RNA is filed under the name uncultured bacterium. Its description in RNAcentral is "partial 16S rRNA". It matches the Rfam family "Bacterial small subunit ribosomal RNA", at positions 355 to 511 of the family's 1533-position model. The record is from RNAcentral.
UAGGGAAUCUUCCACAAUGGACGAAAGUCUGAUGGAGCAACGCCGCGUGAGUGAAGAAGGGUUUCGGCUCGUAAAACUCUGUUGUUAAAGAAGAACAUAUCUGAGAGUAACUGUUCAGGUAUUGACGGUAUUUAACCAGAAAGCCUCGGCUAACUACGUGCCAG